GACGUAGGGGGCGAGCGUUGUCCGGAAUUACUGGGCGUAAAGCGUGCGCAGGCGGUCGUGCAAGACAGGUGUGAAAUCCCCGGGCUUAACCUGGGAACUGCACUUGUGACUGCACGGCUGGAGUGCGGCAGAGGGGGAUGGAAUUCCGCGUGUAGCAGUGAAAUGCGUAGAUAUGCGGAGGAACACCGAUGGCGAAGGCAAUCCCCUGGGCCUGCACUGACGCUCAUGCACGAAAGCGUGGGGAGCAAACAGG
Molecule: ribosomal RNA, 253 nt
Filed under: uncultured bacterium
Lineage: Bacteria
Description: partial 16S ribosomal RNA
Rfam family: Bacterial small subunit ribosomal RNA
Source: RNAcentral